UACGUAGGGGGCUAGCGUUGUCCGGAAUUACUGGGCGUAAAGGGUGAGUAGGUGGUCAUUAAAGUCAGAUGUAAAAGGCAAAGGCUCAACCAUUGUAAGCAUUU
RNAcentral lists this ribosomal RNA (104 nucleotides) under uncultured bacterium. RNAcentral describes it as "partial 16S ribosomal RNA". It matches the Rfam family "Bacterial small subunit ribosomal RNA", at positions 524 to 628 of the family's 1533-position model. The record is from RNAcentral.